This 527-nucleotide ribosomal RNA is filed under the name Planomicrobium okeanokoites. Its description in RNAcentral is "bacterial SSU rRNA". It matches the Rfam family "Bacterial small subunit ribosomal RNA", at positions 811 to 1333 of the family's 1533-position model. The record is from RNAcentral. Lineage: Bacteria; Bacillati; Bacillota; Bacilli; Caryophanales; Caryophanaceae.
GAGUGCUAAGUGUUUAGGGGGGUUUCCGCCCCUUAGUGCUGCAGCUAACGCAUUAAGCACUCCGCCUGGGGGAGUACGGCCGCAAGGCUGAAACUCAAAGGAAUUGACGGGGGCCCGCACAAGCGGUGGAGCAUGUGGUUUAAUUCGAAGCAACGCGAAGAACCUUACCAGGUCUUGACAUCCCGCUGACCGCCUUAGAGAUAAGGCUUUCCCUUCGGGGACAGCGGUGACAGGUGGUGCAUGGUUGUCGUCAGCUCGUGUCGUGAGAUGUUGGGUUAAGUCCCGCAACGAGCGCAACCCUUGAUCUUAGUUGCCAGCAUUCAGUUGGGCACUCUAAGGUGACUGCCGGUGACAAACCGGAGGAAGGUGGGGAUGACGUCAAAUCAUCAUGCCCCUUAUGACCUGGGCUACACACGUGCUACAAUGGACGGUACAAAGGGCAGCCAACCCGCGAGGGGGAGCCAAUCCCAGAAAACCGUUCUCAGUUCGGAUUGCAGGCUGCAACUCGCCUGCAUGAAGCCGGAAUC